AGACUUUCUUUUUCUUUCUAGAGGAAUUCUGCCCAGACUCUGCAGCAGUUGGUAGCAGGCAAGCUUUCUCCUGGGUGUCUCCUUGAAAAGUUGCAAAAUUGCUCUUCACCUGUAAGAACAUGCUCUUUAUCUUCCAGUCUCUUCUUGUCAAUUUGGAAAUUGCAGACAGCCCGGCUCAGACUUCCCUGUGUGUAUAUUAGAAGUCUUCCCGGUGCCAGGAAUCAACAAAGAGAUCAGAAAACCAGAAAUAUUUUCCCUGCAUUCUAUAUUUUAUCAGACUUUAGCCAAAAUUUUUCAUGCUUCUUAUGGAAAAAUCAACACAAAAAUCCCGUACUUUUGUCAAUUGAAGAUAUUACAGUUCUAUAACAGUGUGACAGAAGGCUACCAAGUCAUGAUGGAGAAAAACAUGAAACCAUUGAUUCAGUUCAUUGCAAAUUCAUUCCACCAAACCUUACCUGGCUCUUGUUGCUGCUUGGUAGUACUUUUAUUAAUCUCUUGGAGACUCGCUGAUUAGUUUCCUCCACUGAUUGUCUAAAAGCU
This 540-nucleotide long non-coding RNA is filed under the name Pongo abelii (Sumatran orangutan). RNAcentral describes it as "lincRNA". The record is from RNAcentral. Lineage: Eukaryota; Metazoa; Chordata; Mammalia; Primates; Hominidae.